UACAGAGGGGGCAAGCGUUGCUCGGAAUCACUGGGCGUAAAGGGCGCGUAGGCGGGAUGGCAAGUCGGUCGUGAAAUCCUUCGGCCCAACCGAAGAACGUCGGCCGAUACUGCCGUUCUUGAGGGAUGCAGAGGAGACUGGAAUUCCCGGUGUAGCGGUGAAAUGUGUAGAGAUCGGGAGGAACACCGGUGGCGAAGGCGGGUCUCUGGGCCGAUACUGACGCUGAGGAGCGAAAGCGUGGGGAGCGAACAGG
This 253-nucleotide ribosomal RNA is filed under the name uncultured bacterium. RNAcentral describes it as "partial 16S ribosomal RNA". It matches the Rfam family "Bacterial small subunit ribosomal RNA", at positions 524 to 776 of the family's 1533-position model. The record is from RNAcentral.